This 505-nucleotide ribosomal RNA is filed under the name uncultured bacterium. Its description in RNAcentral is "partial 16S ribosomal RNA". It matches the Rfam family "Bacterial small subunit ribosomal RNA", at positions 28 to 507 of the family's 1533-position model. The record is from RNAcentral.
GACGAACGCUGGCGGCGUGCCUAAUACAUGCAAGUAGAACGCACAGUUUAUACCGUAGCUUGCUACACCAUAGACUGUGAGUUGCGAACGGGUGAGUAACGCGUAGGUAACCUGCCUGGUAGCGGGGGAUAACUAUUGGAAACGAUAGCUAAUACCGCAUAAUAUUAAUUAUUGCAUGAUAAUUAAUUGAAAGGUGCAAUUGCACCACUACCAGAUGGACCUGCGUUGUAUUAGCUAGUAGGUGGGGUAACGGCUCACCUAGGCGACGAUACAUAGCCGACCUGAGAGGGUGAUCGGCCACACUGGGACUGAGACACGGCCCAGACUCCUACGGGAGGCAGCAGUAGGGAAUCUUCGGCAAUGGACGAAAGUCUGACCGAGCAACGCCGCGUGAGUGAAGAAGGUUUUCGGAUCGUAAAGCUCUGUUGUAAGAGAAGAACGGGUGUGAGAGUGGAAAGUUCACACUGUGACGGUAUCUUACCAGAAAGAGACGGCUAACUACGUG